Molecule: ribosomal RNA, 502 nt
Filed under: uncultured bacterium
Lineage: Bacteria
Description: bacterial SSU rRNA
Rfam family: Bacterial small subunit ribosomal RNA
Source: RNAcentral
AGAGUUUGAUCAUGGCUCAGAUUGAACGCUGACGGUAUGCUUAACACAUGCAAGUCGAACGGUAACAGUCCCUCACCUAGAAAUUUCUUAAAAAGAGAUUUGUAGGUGAGGGAGCUGACGAGUGGCGGACGGGUGCGUAAUGUAUAGGAAUCUGCCUAGUAGUGGGGGACAACUCGGAGAAAUUCGAGCUAAUACCGCAUAAGCCCUACGGGGGAAAACGGGGGAUCUUCGGACCUCGUGCUAUUAGAUGAGCCUAUAUUAGAUUAGCUUGUUGGUGAGGUAAUGGCUUACCAAGGCGACGAUCUAUAGCUGGUCUGAGAGGAUGAUCAGCCACACUGGGACUGAGACAUGGCCCAGACUCCUACGGGAGGCAGCAGUGGGGAAUAUUGGACAAUGGGCGAAAGCCUGAUCCAGCAAUACCGCGUGUGUGAAGAAGGCCUGAGGGUUGUAAAGCACUUUCAAUUGGGAGGAAUACCUAAUAGUUAAUAGCUAUUAGAUUGAC